This is a long non-coding RNA of Aphis gossypii (cotton aphid), 1802 nucleotides long. RefSeq lists it as uncharacterized. NCBI's taxonomy places the organism in Eukaryota, Metazoa, Arthropoda, Insecta, Hemiptera, Aphididae. The transcript has 2 exons. The record is from RefSeq and is a predicted model, not a curated record.
UAUAUGAAUAUAAUAUCAAAUAAUAUUUAAAAUAUCAGUUUAUUUUUUAAAAUCAACAUUUCGGGAGAAUAAACAUUAAGUAUUUUUUUUUUUAAAUCUAAAACAUUGUAUAAUAUUUAAUAUUUAUCUUUAAUUGGAAAUUAAUAUUGAUAAUUCCUAAAUUAAUUAUGUUAUGACUAAUAUAUUUCUUAUUUCUUUAAAAGCUAUGAAUAUAUUUUAAAAUAUCAAUAGAACAAUAUCGGAUAUCGUGUUUUUAACCAAUAUAUUGACUUAUAGUUUUCAAACAUUCAUUUAUCGAAUAUCGGAAAAAAGUCAUGUUGGUUCCAUGGUUCAUCACUUAAAUAAAUAUGUACAAAUUGCCUUCCUAUGUAGAAUUUAGCAAUAGUUUAUAUAACUGUUAUUAGUAACUUCUUCACUAAAAUAUAACAUGUAGAUUUAAGUAACGUAGAUAUAGAUAAUAUAAAUUACAAUUACAAUUACAAUAAUUUUGCCCCUAUUUUUAAAUGCAUUAACAUCUUUUGAAAACUAAAUAAAACUAUUAUUUAUCUUCAAAUGUUUACCCUUUUCUUUAAUUAUCUAUUAUCUAUUGGAUUGAUCAAUGCUUAAAACUAGUUCAAAAAUGUUAGAACCACUUCAUAACUUGUAAAAUUAAAACCACCAUACAACAAGUAGGUUUAUUGUUAUUCAACUAAUAGUACUUUAUUACUAUUAGAUAGCGACGACUUAUAUACUACCUCGGCGCAUAAUAGUUAUUGUAAUCUAACUUAGGCCUAGUUUUGAAUUUCAAUACCAUAAUAUUUUGACAUUUCUGAACCGUUAAGAACCCAUUUUUAGAUACAUUUAUUACCUACUCAUUAAUAAUGUACUAGUACUAUAAUCUGUAUUUUGUAAUACAUUUUUAUUUGCGAUUAAAUAAGAUAUAUAUACGUUGAAAAGCAUCUAGUAUGCGCCCAAACAAAAUAGUAUCAGUGCUAUAAUAGAAGUCAAAAUAAACUAUAUUUUGUUGAUGAUAUAAAAUAAUUUAAAUAUUAUAUUAUCAGUCGAUUAAUUAAACAAGCUUUUUAAAAAGAUUUACUAUUUUCUCCAAAUUAUUGUGGCCAAUCUUAUAAUAAUAGGAAAGACAAACAAUUUCAAAAAUUAUUUGAAUAAUUAGUCAAUAAUUUUAUCUUAAAAUUUGUCAAAAACCAUUCAGAACUAAGCAAAAUUAUUUGGCCAUUUAGCCCAUUAUGUAUUCGGUUUUCAUUAAUUUAUAUUUUAAAUAUAAAAUGGAAUUUUAUUUCAUAUUUUUAAAGAAGUAUUUUAAUUUUAAUCAUACAAUAGUUAAUAAAAUCCAAUAGUCUUAUCAGAGAGAUAUACGCAAAAAACCACGUUAAAAACAAAAUUUAGCGCUUUUGCAUUAAUAAAACAACUAUAUUUUUUUGACGAUAUAAAGGAAUUUGUAUGUUACAGUUUCAGUUAAUUACACGAAUAAGACUUUUGAAAAAGAUCCAUUGUUUUGUCCAAAUGGUUGUGGCCGAUCAUAUAAAGAGAAUGCCAUGAUGGAAUUAUUAAAUAAAGUAUGUGAAAAUAAUCCAGUCUUCUGUCCAAAUGGUUGUGGUCAUUCGUAUAAUGGUGAAUAUCGCAAACACAAUCUUAAAAAACAUUUGAUAUAUUCAUGUGGAAAAAAUCCACAAUUUCCUUGUACAUUCUGCUAUAAAACAUUCCGGCAUAAUCAAUCGUUAAAAUAUCAUUUAUCGACUGUUCAUUAAGAAAAUAUACUAUGAAACAAAAAUAGUUAUGUAAUAUAAACUUUGUAUUUGGAA